GAAUUCACUAGUGAUUCAGGCCUAACACAUGCAAGUCGAGCGAACCCUUCGGGGUGAGCGGCGGACGGGUGAGUAACGCGUGGGUAACCUGCCCUGUACACACGGAUAACAUACCGAAAGGUAUGCUAAUACGAGAUAACAUGUAAUGAUCGCAUGGUCGAUACAUCAAAGCUCCGGCGGUACAGGAUGGACCCGCGUCUGAUUAGCUAGUUGGUGAGGUAAUGGCUCACCAAGGCGACGAUCAGUAGCCGACCUGAGAGGGUGAUCGGCCACAUUGGAACUGAGACACGGUCCAAACUCCUACGGGAGGCAGCAGUGGGGAAUAUUGCACAAUGGGCGAAAGCCUGAUGCAGCAACGCCGCGUGAGCAAAGGAGGCCUUCGGGUCGUAAAGCUCUGUCCUCAAGGAAGAUAAUGAC
This 417-nucleotide ribosomal RNA is filed under the name uncultured bacterium. RNAcentral's name for it is "bacterial SSU rRNA". It matches the Rfam family "Bacterial small subunit ribosomal RNA", at positions 34 to 455 of the family's 1533-position model. The record is from RNAcentral.